GCAACACUGACAUUAUACCGUGGGUCAAAUGUCGCAUGGGUCAAAAUGUUCCUAAGGUAAUAUUUCCCUCUUUAGUUGCGAUGAUUUUGAUUCAAAUUCUAACCUGAAACUAGUUAUUUCUGUAUUUUUUGCAGGCCAGCGAAGAAUUAGAAGAGAGAGAAUCACUGGCACAGAUCACAGCUCCCGGAGAAAAUACAUCGUUGGAUGACGGCGAAACUUAUAUCGAAAAAUACACCAAAAGUGUCAGUGCUGUUGAAAGUAUUCUGACAUUGGAUAAACUUCGACAAAGUGUCGCCGUCAAAGAACGAUUACUAGCUCGAGGCAACAAUAAUAACGCCGCUGAUUACCAAAGUGCUGCGAUGAGGAAAACAGCCAGCGUUCCUAAUUUCUCUCAGAUUAUGCGAUUCGACAGUUUCGACUGGUCCUUCAACAUACUUACCAGGGAGCCCAGAGUGACUCGACGAAGACGAAUAGAUUUUGGAAAUUUUCAAACGAGAAGUUUAACAGAACACUUAAAUGUACAUUAUGUAAUGUUGUGAAAUUUGGAGUUGGGAAAUUGCGAUACCUAACAAUAUUGAUCUCCAAAGCUAAAUUUCAAGUUCAAAGAUGACCAUUGACCACACGCCAAGUUGAUGAAAAAUUCAUACAAAAUUCUGCUACCUGAAAAAUGUUUUCACUUUCCUUUUCCUAAAUUUUCAUAGGACUUGCGAAGCAAAAAUUUCAACUCAAUAUUUCAUUUGUUUUUUUUUUUUUUAACAACUACAUAUACCUAAUGGAGGCAAAUU
Long non-coding RNA from Planococcus citri (citrus mealybug), 785 nucleotides. RefSeq lists it as uncharacterized. The record is from RefSeq and is a predicted model, not a curated record. The transcript is spliced from 3 exons. NCBI's taxonomy places the organism in Eukaryota, Metazoa, Arthropoda, Insecta, Hemiptera, Pseudococcidae.